AUGCUGCUUGUCAUCAUCGGCCUCCUCCCCACCAAAUUUGCCGUGCGGACCACCCUGCUCUCCCGGCGGUGGCGCCCCCUUUGGUGCCACGUCCCCCUCAACCUCACUGUCGACAACUGCCUCUGCGACGGGGAUUGUAAAUGCAUGGCCGCAGUCUCCAAGAUCCUUUCAUCGCACCCUCGGCCAGCCAGAUGCCUUGACAUUCGCAUGUUCAGUACCAACUGCAAGGUCCAACCCAAGUUCGAGGAGUGGUUAUUAUCCCCCGCCCUAGAUGAGCUCAAGGAGCUCAGCUUUGAAGCUGGACGAUGUCGCUCUCUGCCGCCGUCUGCUUCGCCUCACACCAACGCUGCACCGCGCCAACUUCAGCUCCUACUAUGUUCCCCAGAUUAA
RNAcentral lists this ribosomal RNA (390 nucleotides) under Triticum aestivum (bread wheat). Its description in RNAcentral is "partial small subunit ribosomal RNA". The record is from RNAcentral. Lineage: Eukaryota; Viridiplantae; Streptophyta; Magnoliopsida; Poales; Poaceae.